RNAcentral lists this ribosomal RNA (206 nucleotides) under uncultured bacterium. RNAcentral's name for it is "partial 16S ribosomal RNA". It matches the Rfam family "Bacterial small subunit ribosomal RNA", at positions 568 to 774 of the family's 1533-position model. The record is from RNAcentral.
AGCGUAGGUGGACCUUUAAGUGAGAUGUGAAAUACCCAGGCUCAACCUGGGGGCCGCAUUUCAAACUGGAAGUCUAGAGUGCAGGAGAGGAGAGUGGAAUUCCUAGUGUAGCGGUGAAAUGCGUAGAGAUUAGGAAGAACACCAGUGGCGAAGGCGACUCUCUGGACUGUAACUGACGCUGAGGCUCGAAAGCGUGGGAGCAAACA